This is a long non-coding RNA of Homo sapiens (human), 2864 nucleotides long. Ensembl annotates it as LPP antisense RNA 2. Its record names the gene LPP-AS2. The record is from Ensembl. Lineage: Eukaryota; Metazoa; Chordata; Mammalia; Primates; Hominidae.
GCCCAGCGCCCCACGCCCCGCGCCCCGGGCCGUGCAGCCAGCCCUUACCUUGCAGCGCCCGGCUGUCUCCCGAUCGCUAAAGCUACUUAUCCCGGGAAAGCUCGCGCGGGACCCGGGAACGAACCCACAGACAAAAAGUGAAACUUCGGCAGGGCUGGAGCGGCUGCUGGUUGGUGCCUUUCCCCCUCCUUCCUCCCCACCGUCCCCACCCCCUCCCCUUGGUCUCCCGUGCGGUGCCCUGAGCGCUGGAGGCUGACGUCAGGGGCCUGAAUUCCUGACUUUGCCUGCACGCAUUUGUCCAUGUAAGGUAUGGGAAGGCGUGUGCCCGCGAAGCCGCCGCGCAGAGCUCGCCUGGCGGGGGAGGGGAAACCCGCAGCCGGCAGUGGCUUUGCCAAAAGGUGGGCGCACUGAGGGCAUUGCAUUUCCUGGGAGGAAGAGGAGGAGACGCGGGAAUGCAGGGAGCUUGCAAAGGAGGAAGAGAAAGAGGGAGAUGUGGAGACUUUGCCCCUGCUAGAGGAAGAGGAAGGAGACGUAGGAGGAAGCGGCCGCGUCAGGGGGCUCCUGGAAAAUGGAAAAGCCUGCGUCUACUAUUAAGGCGUCAAAUUAGGGCACUGAGCUUGAGUGGAAGAGAUCCAGCCAUGAAAUCCCCUUCCAAGAUUUUCCUCGUGAGCCCCGCCCUGGAUUCCCAGCAAGACUCAAAACUUACAAGGUGUCAGAGCUGGCAAAGACCAACUUCCAACCCGUCCGCUUGGCACGUGAGGAAACUGAAGCUCUCGGAAGAGAAAUGACUUGUACAGGGUCGUCACUCAGCAGAUCGAGGAGCGGGCCCAGGCGCUCUGCCUCCCACUUGGGUUCCCGCCUCCAGGAAGGGCCCUGGCUCCCUUUUAGCCCUGAGCCUUGAAGCAGGUUAGAUGCCCGCGAGCUGUGCGGACCACCCAGUGAUUUCUACUGCUCUUGGCCCAGAGCCAGUUCCUGGAAGGUCCUGGUUGACAGCGAGCCCUGAAUAUCAAUGACAAUCAGUUGCUUCAGGGCAACUUCCUCUGUCCUGUGCUCAAAUAAAUGAAUCCCUGGAGUUUAACGUUUACUUCUGAGCCCCGCCCAGAAAGCUUGCUCUGUGCUUAUAGCUUCAAAAAAGUCUGCGAACGAGAUGAACUGGUUUGAAUACAGACAAGCCUGUCAUUGGAAGUUUUGAGUUGGAUUUUUCUUUCCCCUCUGACAUCUGUAAGGGUGAACGACGAUGAGAACCACCACUUAACUGUGUUAGGGGAUUAUGACGCGCAGCAGCCAUGGCCAGGAAAGCAUUCCAUACCCUGAGACUUCCUUUCCUUGCACUUCUCUCCUAUUAAUAUCUAAAGUAAUCCCUCACGUUAGCACAUAAUGAAAGCAGUCUCUCACCCGGCUAUUGCAUCUUCAGGUGAGUUAGAUAGGACAGAGCGUAGUCCCCCCUUUACACCUCAGACAAAAACUUAAGAAACGUUACUCGCCCAACACAAAACAACUGACUGACCAAGCACCUGUCUUCCCCUCCUCCCAUCCAGGUCUCCUGACUAAUCCCUUCAUCUUUCCAUACCUGGCCCUGACCUCUAGCAGGACCUAAUUCCAUUCAUAACUGUUGAGAGUACACCAUGAGCUACUGAUUCAUAAAAACUCCAAAAAGUGGUUCUUCUGAGGAUGGACUUUAGUGGGAUUCUUUUGACCAGGAAUUAAGGAAAUAAUGUAAAAACACAUGUUAUUGGAUUUAUUAAGCACCUUCCUUGUGCUUAAUAAGUGUUUGAAUUCAGACAUUUCAGGGGUAAGACUACUUAACCUCUGUGUUCCUCUCAACUAUCUAAUGUACACAUACAAAAAUAUGAACAUGGCUGGGCGCGGUGGCUUACACCUGUAAUUCCAGCACUUUGGGACGCCGAGGCGGGCAAAUCACCUGAGGUCAGGAGCUCGAGCCAGCCUGGCCAACAUGGCAAAACCCCAUCUCUACCAAAAAUACAAAAAACUAGCUGGGCGUGGCGGCGAGCGCCUGUAAUCCCAGGUAUUCCGGAAGCUGAGGCAGGAGAAUUGCCUGAACCCGGGAGGCAAAGGUUUUAGUGAGCCGAGAUUGCGCCACUGCACUCCAGCCUGGGGGACAGAGCAAGACUGUUGUCAAAAAAAAAAAAUAUAUAUAUAUACAAACACAUAUAUAUACACAUAUAUAUACAUAUAUACACAUAUAUAUACAUAUAUAUACACAUAUAUAUACAUAUAUAUAUACACACACACAUAUAUAUAUACACACAUACAUAUAUAUAUAUGAAGGCAGUAACAGAGAGAUAAGGUCGAGAAUAACCACCCAUUCCACAGACUAAUAAAGAAUUUAUCUCUUUGCAACUAACAUAGUUUGAAAUGGGAGAUACGGGCUCUUGGAGAGAGUUUUUUCUGGGGUUCUGAAAAGGUCAGAUCCUAUCAAAACACAAUCCACUCACUCAAACAUUUCAGCGUACUCACAUUCUGAGUACUACUGUUUAGUAUGAAAAGAAUUCCAGUGUUACAUGAAGUAAAAAUGGAUUAUCUCAAUCCUCAUGGAAUAUAACGGGACUUGACCAGCAUUUCCUUUUUUUUUUUCCUUCAGUAACUCACUUAUAAGGAAUAAUAGGGUCCUAAUGAGGAUUAAGAUUUAAUAAGGUGUAAUUAGAGUUGUUCAUUUCUUCCAUCAUAUACAUUAUAAGAGUACUGUGCCGGAUCCAGAAAUGCUACUAAUUAUGUUGAAACUGUUGUAUGGGUGUGUUGGGGAAGUCACUGUGUUUCUCCUCCUGAAAUGUUUAUGAAUUGCUCAGGUGAGCAUGGUGAGCAUGGUGUUAGCAUGAACAUCAUAUAAAGUUAACUACAAAAGA